RNAcentral lists this ribosomal RNA (409 nucleotides) under Paracoccus sp. VV37. RNAcentral describes it as "bacterial SSU rRNA". It matches the Rfam family "Bacterial small subunit ribosomal RNA", at positions 19 to 456 of the family's 1533-position model. Lineage: Bacteria; Pseudomonadati; Pseudomonadota; Alphaproteobacteria; Rhodobacterales; Paracoccaceae. The record is from RNAcentral.
CUGGCUCAGAACGAACGCUGGCGGCAGGCCUAACACAUGCAAGUCGAGCGAGAUCUUCGGAUCUAGCGGCGGACGGGUGAGUAACGCGUGGGAACGUACCCUUUUCUACGGAAUAGCCUCGGGAAACUGGGAGUAAUACCGUAUACGCCCCUUGGGGGAAAGAUUUAUCGGAGAAGGAUCGGCCCGCGUUGGAUUAGGUAGUUGGUGGGGUAAUGGCCUACCAAGCCGACGAUCCAUAGCUGGUUUGAGAGGAUGAUCAGCCACACUGGGACUGAGACACGGCCCAGACUCCUACGGGAGGCAGCAAUAGAGAAUCUUAGACAAUGGGGGCAACCCUGAUCUAGCCUUGCCUCUUAAGUGAUGAAGGCCUUAGGGUUGUAAAGCUCUUUCAGCUGGGAAGAUAAUGACG